UGACCUCAAAUCAGGUAGGAUUACCCGCUGAACUUAAGCAUAUCAAUAAGCGGAGGAAAAGAAACUAACAAGGAUUCCCCUAGUAACUGCGAGUGAAGCGGGAUGAGCUCAAAUUUAAAAUCUGGCGGUCUCUGGCCGUCCGAGUUGUAUUCUGGAGAAGUGCUUUCCGCGCUGGACCG
Molecule: ribosomal RNA, 179 nt
Filed under: Gloeophyllum sepiarium
Lineage: Eukaryota; Fungi; Basidiomycota; Agaricomycetes; Gloeophyllales; Gloeophyllaceae
Description: partial 28S ribosomal RNA
Rfam family: Eukaryotic large subunit ribosomal RNA
Source: RNAcentral